AGAGUUUGAUCCUGGCUCAGGAUGAACGCUAGCUACAGGCUUAACACAUGCAAGUCGAGGGGCAGCACGAAGAUAGCUUGCUAUUUUUGGUGGCGACCGGCGCACGGGUGAGUAACGCGUAUCCAACCUGCCCUAUGAUAGGGAAUAGCCCGGCGAAAGUCGGAUUAAUGCCCUAUGAGUUCCCACGAAGACAUCCGAAUGGGAAGAAAGGUUUACCGUCAUGGGAUGGGGAUGCGUCCGAUUAGGUUGUUGGCGGGGUAACGGCCCACCAAGCCUGCGAUCGGUAGGGGUUCUGAGAGGAAGGUCCCCCACAUUGGAACUGAGACACGGUCCAAACUCCUACGGGAGGCAGCAGUGAGGAAUAUUGGUCAAUGGGCGGGAGCCUGAACCAGCCAAGUAGCGUGCAGGAUGACGGCCCUAUGGGUUGUAAACUGCUUUUGUGCGGGAAUAAAGUCACUCACGUGUGGGUGUUUGUAUGUACCGCAAGAAUAAGGACCGGCUAAUUCCGUGCCAGCAGCCGCGGUAAUACGGAAGGUCCGGGCGUUAUCCGGAUUUAUUGGGUUUAAAGGGAGCGCAGGCGGGCUGUUAAGCGUGACGUGAAAUGCUGGGGCUUAACCUUAUGUAGUGCGUCGCGAACUGGCAGUCUUGAGUGGGUACGACGUUUGCGGAAUUCGUGGUGUAGCGGUGAAAUGCUUAGAUAUCACGAAGAACUCUGAUUGCGCAGGCAGCAAGCGAGUCCCUUACUGACGCUAAAGCUCGAAGGUGCGGGUAUCGAACAGGAUUAGAUACCCUGGUAGUCCGCACGGUAAACGAUGGAUGCCUGCUGUUGGCGAUACAAUGUCAGCGGCCAAGCGAAAGCGUUAAGCAUCCCACCUGGGGAGUACGCCGGCAACGGUGAAACUCAAAGGAAUUGACGGGGGCCCGCACAAGCGGAGGAACAUGUGGUUUAAUUCGAUGAUACGCGAGGAACCUUACCCGGGCUUGAAUUGCAGAGGAAGGAUUUAGAGAUAAUGACGCCCUUCGGGGUCUCUGUGAAGGUGCUGCAUGGUUGUCGUCAGCUCGUGUCGUGAGAUGUUGGCUUAAGUGCCAUAACGAGCGCAACCCUUUUCGAUAGUUGCCAUCAGUUCGGCUGGGCACUCUGUCGACACUGCCGCCGUAAGGUGUGAGGAAGGUGGGGAUGACGUCAAAUCAGCACGGCCCUUACGUCCGGGGCUACACACGUGUUACAAUGGGAGUUACAGAGCGUCAGGCACCGGCAACGUUGUCUUAAUCGUGAAAGUCUCCCUCAGUUCGGAUUGGGGUCUGCAACCCGACCCCAUGAAGCUGGAUUCGCUAGUAAUCGCGCAUCAGCCAUGGCGCGGUGAAUACGUUCCCGGGCCUUGCACUCACCGCCCGUCA
This 1398-nucleotide ribosomal RNA is filed under the name uncultured bacterium. Its description in RNAcentral is "16S ribosomal RNA". It matches the Rfam family "Bacterial small subunit ribosomal RNA". The record is from RNAcentral.